Molecule: long non-coding RNA, 2059 nt
Organism: Pseudopipra pipra
Lineage: Eukaryota; Metazoa; Chordata; Aves; Passeriformes; Pipridae
Exons: 4
Source: RefSeq, a predicted model, not a curated record
GAGGGGCGGGGCAGAGCCCCCGCGAUGGCUCCGCCCCCGGCCCCGCCCCCGGCCCCGCCUCGGCCCCCUCAGAGCCCUCGGAGCCGAGGAGCGGUUUGGGUUGGAAUAAACCCUCUAACAUCGGUGGGGCCAACAGUGGCCCCAGCGCUGCCGGGGCCACCACUAACCCGUGUCCCCGAGUGCCACGCCCACACCUUCUCUGAACAUAUCCAGGGAUGGGGACUUCACUGUGCCAGGGCUGAACAAUCCUUUCAGUGAAGAAAGUUUUGCAAUAUCCAACCUGAACUUCCCCAGGCACAAAUUGAGACUAUGUCCUCUUGUCACUUGUCAGGCCAAGCCCACUCCUUAACCGUGUCCCCAGGGGACAUAUCCACAGGUUUUUUGAACACAUGCUGGGACGGUGAUUUCACCACUGCCCUGGGCAGCCUGUUCAGUGCCUGACCACCCGUUCCUUUGUUGAGGAAUACCUCUGGUUCCUUUGUUGAGGAAUACCUCUGGUUCCUUUGUUGAGGAAUACCUCUGGUGCAGGUAGCUCAGUUUGCAACCUGCAGAUUGAGAUGCAGAUUGAGCUCUAGGUGUGAACUGCCAACCUUUGGGAUAACAAAGGACAUGAAGAGGAGUGAUGCCAGCAAGGUGGAUGGACAUGGAGAGGGGCACAGGAGCAGGGGACUCCGGAGGAAGAGCAAGACUUGCUCACUCAUGGAUUGUGAGGGUAUAAAAGCCCAGGGAUCCUUUGCUCAGGGUCCCUCCUCUGAGGCUCGGAGCUGUUCCUGUGUUAUUGCACCGUGAAUAAAUUGUUUUAUGGAACGAGGCAUCUGAGGGUCUGGUAUGGGAAACCUGGGGUGGAACCGAUGGAAGCCCUGCUCUACAAGCAAAAGGUUGGCCAAACCUGCUUCUGUGGGCCCUUAUCCUCCAGCUGAAGAGCAUAUGAGAGAAUGAUCAGAUGGAGAAGACAAAGCAAGAGGGAGACAUUAUAAAAUUAUCUCACAGAGCUGCUCUUCAGUCAUGAUCGUGGUAAUGAACUGAGUUUUCAAGAAGAGGCUCGGAACCGAGAGCUGGAAGGACGAGACCUUGUCAGGACUCAGAUCAGCGAGGAAUCAAGUGCAGGAAGAGCAACCACAGGGCUCAGCUGGGGUCUCACAUUUUCCUUGGAUUUAAUAUUUGUGUCAUGUUUGGACUGCAGAAGCUCCUGGAUUAAUCCAGCCACAGUUCCUCUCUGAAUUACUCUGAGGGUGCAUUUUGCUGGGUGGCUGUGUCUGCCCUUUGGGGCUGACCCACCUUAUGAUGCUGUUUGAAGGAAGUGCCCUUGCUCUCUGCUGCCAUUCUCUACCCUUGUCUUUCAAAACUUCCCAUUGUUCUCUUUUCUCUUUUUGCUUCUACUUUAAUGACUUGGUUAGUGGACCCCCCACCAGCCUCUAGCCUUCUUAGACCUUUUUGCAUAUCACAUGCUAUGUGAAAAGCAAAGGUUGCUCUAUCUGCCUGCAUGUACUCACAUUCACUUCUCACCGCAUUUAUUUUGGAUCUUGUUUUUCUCUUCUGUAGCUUCACAACUGUGGGCCACAUCCAGUGGUGGUAGAACCAAGCCUGAUCCACUGGUGUACACUUGCUGGAAGACUGUCACUGUGCACUGGUUCUCUGGCUUUCCUCUUCUGGCAUCUUUUCUAUUCUGCAAAAUAGUCUAUGAUUCAUGUCAAGGUGCUUUCCUGGGGUCUGAGCCUCAGACUAAAGGCAGCAAUUAACAGUGGAGGCUUAAAAGGGCUUAAAGGACUGUUGCACCCUGGACUCUUUUUGCUCCUCCCAAGAGCCAUUCAGCUGCAUCUUCCCCCAGUGACCUGCUCAGAGGUCACUGAGGACGCUGAGUCUCUUCAUCAUGGUGUUUUGUGCCUGUUCUUACCUAUAUCAACACACAAACACAACAAGGAAAUACUACAGGUUGUAGCACUGGAGCAGUGCAGGGGCCAAACCACACAACACAUCCCUCUGGUGACAGGUCAUCAUAAAGAAAAGUCUUCCUGGGUCAGUAACAACAGCCUGCUGUGCUUGCAGGGUGGGGGAAUCA